Molecule: long non-coding RNA, 143 nt
Organism: Larimichthys crocea (large yellow croaker)
Lineage: Eukaryota; Metazoa; Chordata; Actinopteri; Sciaenidae
Exons: 3
Source: RefSeq, a predicted model, not a curated record
GGAUUGUGCUGGCAGACCUGCUUCUGUUAAUCCACUCCUACACACUCAGAAGUCGAGGAAACAGGAACAGUGACGACAAAGAGAACAUUUUGUUUGCUCAGUCAGAGAGGCAGCAGCAUGGAGAGAUUUCCAAAGUCAAGAGG